GGAGAAUUGCUUGAACCUGGGAGGUGGAGGUUGCAGUGAGCUGAGAUCACGCCACUGCACUCCAGCCUGGGCAACAGAG
Cercocebus atys (sooty mangabey) is the source of this 79-nucleotide microRNA precursor. The record is from Ensembl. NCBI's taxonomy places the organism in Eukaryota, Metazoa, Chordata, Mammalia, Primates, Cercopithecidae.